UUCUACAUGGCAUGCACACGAUACACGCGCACUACACGCAUAAGCUGACGAUCUCGAGACUUUAACGAAACCACUGAAAAUAACGUCCCAUGACUAUCGAACCGGUGUUCCGACGGAUUGAAAACCAGACCGGUAAGAUAUUGUUUAACGUGGAACAAGCGAUUUUAUAAAAAAAAAAAAGAAAAAAAUUGAAUAUACACGGGUCGUCGUAUACGUGUAAAUCUUUCCGAUAUUUGCCAACGUCGCGGUAAAUUAUAUUACAGACAAUAAUGUAUACUCGUACUAU
Molecule: non-coding RNA, 286 nt
Organism: Cinara cedri
Lineage: Eukaryota; Metazoa; Arthropoda; Insecta; Hemiptera; Aphididae
Source: the annotation of a GenBank genome assembly